CAGAGAAUAGUUUAAAGAAUAAAAUAUUAGUUUUGGGAAUUAAAGAUAAAAGUAUUUUUUCUCUGA
RNAcentral lists this transfer RNA (66 nucleotides) under Lissocarcinus arkati. RNAcentral's name for it is "tRNA-Pro". It matches the Rfam family "tRNA". From Rfam's summary of the family: Transfer RNA (tRNA) molecules are approximately 80 nucleotides in length. Their secondary structure includes four short double-helical elements and three loops (D, anti-codon, and T loops). The record is from RNAcentral. Lineage: Eukaryota; Metazoa; Arthropoda; Malacostraca; Decapoda; Portunidae.